RNAcentral lists this ribosomal RNA (468 nucleotides) under uncultured bacterium. Its description in RNAcentral is "partial 16S ribosomal RNA". It matches the Rfam family "Bacterial small subunit ribosomal RNA", at positions 28 to 507 of the family's 1533-position model. The record is from RNAcentral.
GACGAACGCUGGCGGCGUGCUUAACACAUGCAAGUCGAACGGAAAGGCCCUGCUUUUGUGGGGUGCUCGAGUGGCGAACGGGUGAGUAACACGUGAGUAACCUGCCCUUGACUUUGGGAUAACUUCAGGAAACUGGGGUUAAUACCGGAUAGGAGCUCCUGCUGCAUGGUGGGGGUUGGAAAGUUUCGGCGGUUGGGGAUGGACUCGCGGCUUAUCAGCUUGUUGGUGGGGUAGUGGCUUACCAAGGCAUUGACGGGUAGCCGGCCUGAGAGGGUGACCGGCCACAUAGGGACUGAGAUAGGGCCCAGACUCCUACGGGAGGCAGCAGUGGGGAAUAUUGCACAAUGGGCGGAAGCCGGAUGCAGCAACGCCGCGUGCGGGAUGACGGCCUUCGGGUUGUAAACCGCUUUCGCCUGUGACGAAGCGUGAGUGACGGUAAUGGGUAAAGAAGCACCGGCUAACUACGUG